UUUGCCUACGGGACGCAGCAGUGGGGGAUAUUGCACAAUGGGGGGAACCCUGAUGCAGCGACGCCGCGUGGGUGAAGAAGCGCCUCGGCGCGUAAAGCCCUGUCAGCAGGGAAGAAAAUGACGGUACCUGAAGAAGAAGCCCCGGCUAACUACGUGCCAGCAGCCGCGGUAAUACGUAGGGGGCAAGCGUUAUCCGGAUUUACUGGGUGUAAAGGGGGCGCAGACGGCAGCGCAAGUCUGGAGUGAAAUGCCGGGGCCCAACCCCGGAACUGCUUUGGAAACUGUGCAGCUGGAGUGCAGGAGAG
RNAcentral lists this ribosomal RNA (305 nucleotides) under uncultured bacterium. RNAcentral describes it as "bacterial SSU rRNA". It matches the Rfam family "Bacterial small subunit ribosomal RNA", at positions 334 to 656 of the family's 1533-position model. The record is from RNAcentral.